RNAcentral lists this ribosomal RNA (372 nucleotides) under uncultured organism. RNAcentral's name for it is "partial 16S ribosomal RNA". It matches the Rfam family "Bacterial small subunit ribosomal RNA", at positions 528 to 896 of the family's 1533-position model. The record is from RNAcentral.
GGAGGUCCAAGCGUUGUUCGGAAUCACUGGGCGUAAAGCGCGUGUAGGCGGCUUGGCAAGUCGGGUGUGAAAUCCCGGGGCUCAACCCCGGAACUGCACCCGAAACUGCCUCGCUAGAGUCCCGGAGAGGGUGGCGGAAUUUCCGGUGUAGAGGUGAAAUUCGUAGAUAUCGGAAGGAACACCAGUGGCGAAGGCGGCCACCUGGACGGUGACUGACGCUGAGACGCGAAAGCGUGGGGAGCAAACAGGAUUAGAUACCCUGGGUAGUCCACGCCGUAAACGUUGAGUGCUAGACGUCGGGGGUAUUGACCCCCUCCGGUGUCGAAGCUAACGCAUUAAGCACUCCGCCUGGGGAGUACGGUCGCAAGACUA